This 1712-nucleotide ribosomal RNA is filed under the name metagenome. RNAcentral's name for it is "bacterial LSU rRNA". It matches the Rfam family "Bacterial large subunit ribosomal RNA", at positions 1202 to 2925 of the family's 2925-position model. The record is from RNAcentral.
AGAGAGUUUCUGUUGGGGCUGAUGUUGCCCGGGGGAGCAUUCCAGGGGCUGUGAAGCUACAUCGUAAGGUGUGGUGGAGCGCCUGGAAGAGAGAAUGCUGACAUGAGUAGCGAUAAGGGAGGUGAAAAACCUCCCCGCCGAAAGCCCAAGGGUUCCUGUCCAAGGAUCAUCCGGGCAGGGUUAGUCGGUCCCUAAGGUGCAGCCGAAAGGCCAAGUCGAUGGGGAACAGGCAAAUAUUCCUGUACUUCUACAGCGGAGCAGAGCAGGGACGGAGAAGGGCAGGUCAGCCGGGCAGUGGAUGUCCCGGUGCAAUCCCGUAGGUAGCCCCGUUGGGAAUAUAACGGCGGGGCAACGCCGAGAGGAGACGCCAAGCGGCCUUGUGUCGUGAGUGACUGAUCCCAUGCUUCCAAGAAAAGCUGCGGGCUGCGUUGAUGCUGUGGAAACCGUACCCGAAACCGACUCAGGUGGGCGGGUGGAGAACACCAAGGCGUUUGAGAGAAGCCAGGUUAAGGGACUAGGCAAAUUGACACCGUAACUUCGGGAUAAGGUGUCCACCGUACCGUGUAGUCCCUGCGGGCGAAGCGGGUGGUGGUUGCAACAAAGCGGCGGUAGCGACUGUUUACCAAAAACACAGGACUCUGCGAAGCCGUAAGGCGAUGUAUAGGGUCUGACGCCUGCCCGGUGCCGGAAGGUUAAGAGGAGCUGUCAGCGCAAGCAAAGCAGCGAAUCGAAGCCCCGGUAAACGGCGGCCGUAACUAUAACGGUCCUAAGGUAGCGAAAUUCCUUGUCGGGUAAGUUCCGACCUGCACGAGGGCGUAACGACUUCCGCGCUGUCUCGACCUGGUGCUCAGCGAAAUUGACAUUGGGGUGAAGAUGCCCCAUACCUGCGGAAAGACGGAAAGACCCUGUGAACCUUUACUCUAACUUGGCAGUGGCAUCCGGUCCAAUCUGUGUAGGAUAGGUGGGAGACUUUGAAGUGGUGGCGCUAGCCAUCAUGGAGUCAACGUUGAAAUACCACCCUGAUUGUUCUGGCUGCCUAACUCGGAGACGAGGACACUGUCUGGUGGGGAGUUUGACUGGGGCGGUCGCCUCCCAAAGUGUAACGGAGGCGCGCAAAGGUUCUCUCAGCCUGAUUGGAAACCAGGCGCAGAGUGCAAUGGCAUAAGAGAGCUUGACUGUGAGAUCGACAGAUCGAACAGGUGGGAAACCAGGCCAUAGUGAUCCGGCGGUUCCAGAUGGACGGGCCGUCGCUCAUCGAAUAAAAGGUACUCCGGGGAUAACAGGCUGAUCGCGCCCAAGAGUCCAUAUCGACGGCGCGGUUUGGCACCUCGAUGUCGGCUCAUCGCAUCCUGGGGCUGGAGCAGGCCCCAAGGGUAUGGCUGUUCGCCGUUUAAAGCGGUACGCGAGCUGGGUUCAGAACGUCGUGAGACAGUUCGGUCCCUAUCUUCCGUAGGCGUUGGAGAGUUGAGAGGAGCUGUCCCUAGUACGAGAGGACCGGGAUGGACGCACCUCUGGUGUUCCGGUUGUCGCGCCAGCGGCACUGCCGGGUAGCUACGUGCGGACGGGAUAACCGCUGAAAGCAUCUAAGUGGGAAACCCCCCUCGAGAUGAGCUCUCCCUGAAGGGCCCUCGAAGACUACGAGGUUGAUCGGCUGGAUGUGGAAGCGCGGCAACGCGUGGAGCAAACCAGUACGAAUUGCCCGAACGGCUUAA